RNAcentral lists this ribosomal RNA (497 nucleotides) under uncultured bacterium. RNAcentral describes it as "partial 16S ribosomal RNA". It matches the Rfam family "Bacterial small subunit ribosomal RNA", at positions 28 to 507 of the family's 1533-position model. The record is from RNAcentral.
GAUGAACGCUGGCGGCGUGCCUAAUACAUGCAAGUCGAGCGAACAGACGAGGAGCUUGCUCCUCUGACGUUAGCGGCGGCCGGGUGAGUAACACGUGGAUAACCUCCCUAUAAGACUGGGAUAACUUCGGGAUACCGGAGCUAAUACCGGAUAAUAUAUUGAACCGCAUGGUUCAUUAGUGAAAGACGGUUUUGCUGUCACUUAUAGAUGGAUCCGCGCCGCAUUAGCUAGUUGGUAAGGUAACGGCUUACCAAGGCAACGAUGCGUAGCCGACCUGAGAGGGUGGUCGGCCACCCUGGAGCGGAGACACGGUCCAGACUCCUACGGGAGGCAGCAGUAGGGAAGCUUCCGCAAUGGGCGAAAGCUGGACGGAGCAACGCCGCGUGAGUGAUGAAGGUCUUCGGAUCGUAAAACUCUGUUAUUAGGGAAGAACAAAUGUGUAAGUAACUAUGCACGUCUUGACGGUACCUAAUCAGAAAGCCACGGCUAACUACGUG